This is a long non-coding RNA of Heteronotia binoei (common prickly gecko), 1130 nucleotides long. RefSeq lists it as uncharacterized. The record is from RefSeq and is a predicted model, not a curated record. NCBI's taxonomy places the organism in Eukaryota, Metazoa, Chordata, Lepidosauria, Squamata, Gekkonidae. The transcript has 3 exons.
ACUUUUACAACUGAUCUUCAGCAGAUAGAGAUCCACUCCCCUGGAGAAAAUGGCUGCUUUGAAGGGUGGGCUCUGUGACAUUUUACCAUUCUGAGUCCUCUCUCCUCCCCACAGAACUGACAAUCCUAAUUUUAGGGGAUGUACUAGAUGAAGAUUCCAUUACCUACUAACUGGAGGACUCAGCUGAUCUAGCUAUGCUGAUCCAUACCUCAUAGAGAGGCUGUCCUUGAAUCCAAUCUGGAAACUGCCGAUGGUUCAGAAUGUUAACAAGAGAAUCUCCAGUUGUAUGGAAACUUGGAACUGCAGUCAACUUCAUUCUGGACUGGUGCUUCAUAUAAUUAUUCAAAUUUGGAUGGUAACAUCUGAGGAAGAUUCUCCAAUCAGAACUUGGGAAUCAAAAUGUUGACCAGAUGUUGACCAGAUCUGUUAUCAAUCUAUGCUGACAUCCAUUGGAGGAUUGGAAGAAGACGACGCUGCCUCACAGCUGGGAUGUUUUCUUGCCACAGGACUUAUAGCUGAUGCUUUAUUCUUAUGGGAAAUAAUUAGUUGUGAAACAGUCUGUAUUUGUACCUUAUUCGGAAGAUAUAUUCUACUGUAAUUGUCUGUAAGUAACAUUCUGUUGUUUUGUGUAGCUAUAGUCUCUUGUAUAUACAUUGGAAAUACUGAUAUUGUAGAUAAUAUAUAAUCUUUGUGCUAUACAGUUAACUCUAGUAGGAUGGUUGGGAAUGUGGUAGACCCUGUAUUGUCAGGGGCUAACCAAUAGAAAUGCAGCUAUCUUAAAAGAGCUACAUUGGCUGCCACUUGGUUUCUGAGUUCAAUUCUGGUUGUUAGGCUUAUAACCUAUAAAAUCCUUCAUAGCCUAGGAACUGCAUAUUUUAAGGAGCAUCUCAUGCACCAGGUAAAGUCCUUCAGCUGUCACCUGUGUCUUUAUCAUAACUGUUAUACAUGGUAAACAAUGUACUUGUAUACUGCAGCCCCAAAUGUCCCCUGAAAUGCUGCUUCUUGAGACUCUCAGAAACAAUCUUUUGGGAGCUGUUUUUGGCUUAAUUUUAAAGCUGUCUAAGCUAGCAGCCAUCAAUUCAUCUUGUAGAAAUGAAUUUUAUGUUAAUUAUAUAUUGUGCAAAGAAGUA